Molecule: ribosomal RNA, 253 nt
Filed under: uncultured bacterium
Lineage: Bacteria
Description: partial 16S ribosomal RNA
Rfam family: Bacterial small subunit ribosomal RNA
Source: RNAcentral
UACAGAGGGUGCGAGCGUUGUCCGGAAUCACGUGGCGUAAAGGGCGCGUAGGUGGCGGCCCAAGUCCAUGGUGAAAGCUCGAUGCUCAACAUCGAGUCGGCCACGGGAUACUGGGUUGCUCGAGCACUGUAGGGGCAGAUGGAAUUCCGGGUGUAGCGGUGGAAUGCGUAGAGAUCCGGGAAGAACACCGGUGGCGAAGGCGGUCUGCUGGGCAGUUGCUGACACUGAGGCGCGACAGCGUGGGAGCAACAGG